Molecule: ribosomal RNA, 1061 nt
Filed under: Osteocephalus taurinus (Manaus slender-legged treefrog)
Lineage: Eukaryota; Metazoa; Chordata; Amphibia; Anura; Hylidae
Description: partial 16S ribosomal RNA
Rfam family: Bacterial large subunit ribosomal RNA
Source: RNAcentral
UACUCAAGAAAAGGAUUUAAGUCCAGCCUAAAGUCUUCUUAGUUUAUCGAAACAUGACCUUGACUUUAGAGUAAUUCAAAUAAGGUACAGCCUAUUUGAAAAAGGAUACAACCUAAGUUAACGGGUAAUACUCCAAUUUUAUAAUUAAGUGGGCCUAAAAGCAGCCACCUUUAAAACAGCGUCAAAGCUUCAUUAUACCAUACAUCUAAUACCAUAAAAAUUUGAUACCCCUUUUAUUCUAUUGAGUAAUUCUAUAUUGUUAUAGAAAAUAUAAUGUUAAAACUAGUAACAAGAAGAAGACCUUCUCUUUAAUGCAAGUGUAAAUCAGAAAGGACCUACCACUGAUAAUUAACCCCCAUGAAACUACAUUAGUAACCUCACAAGAAAAUCCUAAUAAAUUCUGAGUUAAUCUAACACAAGAGCAUUACAAGAAAGAUUUAAAGAAAAAGAAGGAACUCGGCAAACAUUAACCUCGCCUGUUUACCAAAAACAUCGCCUCUUGAAUAACUAUAAGAGGUCCAGCCUGCCCAGUGACUUUGUUCAACGGCCGCGGUAUCCUAACCGUGCGAAGGUAGCGUAAUCACUUGUCUUUUAAAUGGGGACUUGCAUGAAUGGCAUCACGAGGGUUAUACUGUCUCCUUUUUCUAAUCAGUGAAACUAAUCUUCCCGUGAAGAAGCGGGAAUAAAGAUAUAAGACGAGAAGACCCUAUGGAGCUUUAAACUUAAUAACAAAUACUAACCUUACAUCAACUUUAAGAAUAUUAACCUUAAUCUUAGUAUUAUGAUUAUUAGUUUUAGGUUGGGGUGACCGCGGAGUAAAAAUUAACCUCCACAUUGAACGGGACCUGUCCCUGAGCCAAGAACUACAGCUCAAAGCACCAACAAAUUGACAUUAAUUGACCCAAUAUUUUGAUCAACGAACCAAGUUACCCUAGGGAUAACAGCGCAAUCCACUUCAAGAGCUCCUAUCGACAAGUGGGUUUACGACCUCGAUGUUGGAUCAGGGUAUCCCAGUGGUGCAGCCGCUACUAAAGGUUCGUUUGUUCAACGAUUAAAACCCU